Molecule: long non-coding RNA, 705 nt
Filed under: Daucus carota (carrot)
Lineage: Eukaryota; Viridiplantae; Streptophyta; Magnoliopsida; Apiales; Apiaceae
Description: long non-coding RNA (DCAR_LNC000077)
Source: RNAcentral
UUUUUUCCUUUUUCUAAAUUCACUCACAAAUCUCUGUUUUGUUCAGCUAGGGUUUCACCGAAAGUACUAGCAGAUACCCUUCUUCAUCAGCUUCAUAUUUCGUCUCCAUUCGUCGAUUCAUCUUCAUGGNCCCCCCCUCUCUCUCGCCCUCCCUCUCAAUUAUGAGGACUGAAAUUAAAUAUCUGUUAUAAACUUGUUACAGCAGCAGCAGUUCGAUCGUUUCUGCAAGUAGCGGUCACUGAAGAAGUCGCUUCCCCGCUCAGAGUCGUUCAGAUCGAAGGACUGGUAUCACUUUUACAUCCCAGAAUCUCCUUUUAUCUAUUUUAUUAUUUAUAUAUUUUGAUUUUGUUCGUUGAAUUAGUAUGUGUACAUAUUCCAGCUUUAAUUUGGUAUUGGUUUUAUCGAUAAUGCUAGAGGAUAUUUAUCGAUUGAAAUGCGACAAUUUAACUUAAUUUGAGCUAUAAACAUAACUGAUUGUAGUGUGUGUUUCGUUGUGUCAAUGAUGGGGUUAAAAUUGGAAAGACUUUAUUGACUAUUUUGGAGUAGAGGCUGUUGAAUUUGUCUGACUAUUUUAUGUUGAGCAGUAUGAAAGUGCUGUGUAAACCACAUAGAAGUUCGAUAAUUUUAACCAUAUUAGCUGCUCUGAACUCCCAAAUGAUCAUUUUGUGCUACAGUUGCUAUAGGGCUGCUUAUAUUGAAUUUCAU